This 92-nucleotide small nucleolar RNA is filed under the name Genlisea aurea. RNAcentral's name for it is "Plant small nucleolar RNA SNOR75". It matches the Rfam family "Plant small nucleolar RNA SNOR75". From Rfam's summary of the family: U15 is a member of the C/D class of snoRNA which contain the C (UGAUGA) and D (CUGA) box motifs. The record is from Rfam by way of RNAcentral. Lineage: Eukaryota; Viridiplantae; Streptophyta; Magnoliopsida; Lamiales; Lentibulariaceae.
CUUCGUUGAUGAACAAUAAUCGAUGACGAGUCCGAUAUAAUCCAUUUUCAAUGAAAUCGUGACGACAGAAUCGAGGCAUUUGUCUGAGAAGA